RNAcentral lists this non-coding RNA (28 nucleotides) under Mus musculus (house mouse). The record is from RNAcentral. Lineage: Eukaryota; Metazoa; Chordata; Mammalia; Rodentia; Muridae.
UGUACACAUUCACGGACUUCAAAGACUA